RNAcentral lists this non-coding RNA (158 nucleotides) under Prochlorococcus marinus. Lineage: Bacteria; Bacillati; Cyanobacteriota; Cyanophyceae; Synechococcales; Prochlorococcaceae. The record is from RNAcentral. RNAcentral also lists the same sequence under 1 other name.
UGAUUGAAUCCAUCAAUCGGUUUCAGCAGGGAUCAGCUGCUGAAGGAAACGGGGAAAGUUCGGCGAAAAUCCGGCACUGUCCCGCAGCUGUAAAGCGCAACCACCCUUCUUAGAGCACUUGCGCGAGUCAGAAUACCCGCCGAAUUUCCAUCGACGAG